RNAcentral lists this signal recognition particle RNA (103 nucleotides) under [Bacteroides] pectinophilus ATCC 43243. Its description in RNAcentral is "Bacterial signal recognition particle RNA". It matches the Rfam family "Bacterial small signal recognition particle RNA". From Rfam's summary of the family: The signal recognition particle (SRP) is a universally conserved ribonucleoprotein involved in the co-translational targeting of proteins to membranes. The record is from RNAcentral. Lineage: Bacteria; Bacillati; Bacillota; Clostridia; Eubacteriales.
CGCUUGGGCCUUUCGCAACAGGAAUUCAUGAACCAUGUCAGGACGGGAACGUAGCAGCAUUAAGUGAAACCUUCUGUGUGCCGGAAGCAAACCUGAGCCGAGC